UAGAGUUUGAUCCUGGCUCAGAACGAACGCUGGCGGCGUGCCUAACACAUGCAAGUCGAGCGAGAAAGUUCCUUCGGGAACGAGUACAGCGGCGCACGGGUGAGUAACACGUAGGUAACCUACCCUCGAGCCCGGAAUAACCCGUCGAAAGAUGGGCUAAUGCCGGAUGGGACCACGGUGGUCACGGCCACCGCGGUGAAAGAUGGCCUCUGUUCACAUGCUAUUACUCGAGGAUGGGCCUGCGCGCCAUUAGCUAGUUGGUGAGGUAACGGCUCACCAAGGCGAUGAUGGCUAGCUGGUCUGAGAGGAUGACCAGCCACACUGGGACUGACACACGGCCCAGACUCCUACGGGAGGCAGCAGUGGGGGAUAUUGCGCAAUGGGCGAAAGCCUGACGCAGCGACGCCGCGUGGGUGAUGAAGGCCUUCGGGUCGUAAAGCCCUGUCGAGGGGAACGAAUCAGUUUGGUCCUAACACGACCAGACCCUGACGGUACCCCUAAAGGAAGCACCGGCUAACUACGUGCCAGCAGCCCCGGUCAA
RNAcentral lists this ribosomal RNA (541 nucleotides) under uncultured bacterium. RNAcentral describes it as "bacterial SSU rRNA". It matches the Rfam family "Bacterial small subunit ribosomal RNA", at positions 1 to 524 of the family's 1533-position model. The record is from RNAcentral.